Molecule: non-coding RNA, 76 nt
Filed under: Anaerorhabdus furcosa
Lineage: Bacteria; Bacillati; Bacillota; Erysipelotrichia; Erysipelotrichales; Erysipelotrichaceae
Description: c-di-GMP-I riboswitch aptamer
Rfam family: c-di-GMP-I riboswitch aptamer
About the family: GEMM was predicted in a large-scale screen for bacterial structured RNA regulatory elements. Genes associated with GEMM are involved in a diverse array of functions, including chemotaxis regulation, signal transduction, secretion and chitin.
Source: Rfam by way of RNAcentral
AAACUAAAUAGGUAAAAUCAUCGAAAGAUGAUGACACAAAACUAUAGGGUCUUUAAAAUGACAGCCAGUUGCACAU